CGCCGUUCGUGUUGGGGUCGCGCCGCCCUCGUUAGUUCACGCCGAAGCUGUUGUGCACUGGCACCGUCGGACGUCCUACGCUCUGCCGAAGUAGACGCUGUGAGGGUCUCGUGCGACUGAAGGAAGAAGAAAGGUGGAGGAGGAUUGUAAGGCUGGUGGUCUCUUUUUACGGCAAGGAGACGAAGGAGAGAGAGAGAGAGGAUGGGAGAGAAAAGACAGAG
Molecule: non-coding RNA, 221 nt
Organism: Benincasa hispida (wax gourd)
Lineage: Eukaryota; Viridiplantae; Streptophyta; Magnoliopsida; Cucurbitales; Cucurbitaceae
Source: RefSeq, a predicted model, not a curated record